AACUAACGCUGGCGGCGUGCCUAACACAUGCAAGUCGUACGAGAAAGCCGGCUUCGGCUGGUGAGUAAAGUGGCGCACGGGUGAGUAACGCGUGGAUAAUCUGCCCUUAAGUGUGGAAUAACGUACCGAAAGGUGCGCUAAUACCGCAUAAUGCCUGGCAACACAAGUUGUCCGGCCAAAGAAGGCCUCUGUUUACAAGCUUUCGCUUCAGGAUGAGUCCGCGUACCAUUAGCUUGUUGGUGGGGUAAUGGCCUACCAAGGCUGCGAUGGUUAGCUGGUCUGAGAGGAUGAUCAGCCACACUGGAACUGAGACACGGUCCAGACUCCUACGGGAGGCAGCAGUGAGGAAUAUUGCGCAAUGGGGGCAACCCUGACGCAGCAACGCCGCGUGAGUGAGGAAGGUUUUCGGACUGUAAAGCUCUGUCGAGCGGGAAGAGGUGUACCAUGGCUAAUAUCCAUGAUAUUUGACGGUACCGCUAGAGG
This 483-nucleotide ribosomal RNA is filed under the name uncultured bacterium. Its description in RNAcentral is "bacterial SSU rRNA". It matches the Rfam family "Bacterial small subunit ribosomal RNA", at positions 29 to 487 of the family's 1533-position model. The record is from RNAcentral.